UACGUAGGGUCCGAGCGUUGUCCGGAAUUACUGGGCGUAAAGAGCUCGUAGGUGGUUUGUCGCGUUGUUCGUGAAAACUCACAGCUCAACUGUGGGCGUGCGGGCGAUACGGGCAGACUAGAGUACUGCAGGGGAGACUGGAAUUCCUGGUGUAGCGGUGGAAUGCGCAGAUAUCAGGAGGAACACCGGUGGCGAAGGCGGGUCUCUGGGCAGUAACUGACGCUGGAGGAG
RNAcentral lists this ribosomal RNA (231 nucleotides) under uncultured bacterium. RNAcentral describes it as "partial 16S ribosomal RNA". It matches the Rfam family "Bacterial small subunit ribosomal RNA", at positions 524 to 753 of the family's 1533-position model. The record is from RNAcentral.